RNAcentral lists this ribosomal RNA (373 nucleotides) under uncultured bacterium. Its description in RNAcentral is "bacterial SSU rRNA". It matches the Rfam family "Bacterial small subunit ribosomal RNA", at positions 521 to 896 of the family's 1533-position model. The record is from RNAcentral.
UAAUACGGAGGAUCCAAGCGUUAUCCGGAUUUAUUGGGUUUAAAGGGUGCGUAGGCGGAUUGAUAAGUCAGUGGUGAAAGCCUGCAGCUUAACUGCAGAACUGCCAUUGAUACUGUCAGUCUUGAGUAUAUUUGAAGUGGGCGGAAUGUGCAGUGUAGCGGUGAAAUGCUUAGAUAUUGCACAGAACACCAAUUGCGAAGGCAGCUCACUAAACUAUAACUGACGCUGAGGCACGAAAGUAUGGGGAUCAAACAGGAUUAGAUACCCUGGUAGUCCAUACAGUAAACGUUGAUUACUCGAUGUGUGCGAUAAACUGUACGCGUCUAAGCGAAAGCAAUAAGUAAUCCACCUGGGGAGUACGCUCGCAAGAGUG